This 847-nucleotide ribosomal RNA is filed under the name Acinetobacter bereziniae. RNAcentral's name for it is "bacterial SSU rRNA". It matches the Rfam family "Bacterial small subunit ribosomal RNA", at positions 77 to 917 of the family's 1533-position model. Lineage: Bacteria; Pseudomonadati; Pseudomonadota; Gammaproteobacteria; Moraxellales; Moraxellaceae. The record is from RNAcentral.
GCUUCGGUAAUUGACCUAGCGGCGGACGGGUGAGUAAUACUUAGGAAUCUGCCUAUUAAUGGGGGACAACAUCUCGAAAGGGAUGCUAAUACCGCAUACGCCCUACGGGGGAAAGCAGGGGAUCACUUGUGACCUUGCGUUAAUAGAUGAGCCUAAGUCGGAUUAGCUAGUUGGUGGGGUAAAGGCCUACCAAGGCGACGAUCUGUAGCGGGUCUGAGAGGAUGAUCCGCCACACUGGGACUGAGACACGGCCCAGACUCCUACGGGAGGCAGCAGUGGGGAAUAUUGGACAAUGGGGGGAACCCUGAUCCAGCCAUGCCGCGUGUGUGAAGAAGGCCUUAUGGUUGUAAAGCACUUUAAGCGAGGAGGAGGCUCUUUUGGUUAAUACCCAAGAUGAGUGGACGUUACUCGCAGAAUAAGCACCGGCUAACUCUGUGCCAGCAGCCGCGGUAAUACAGAGGGUGCGAGCGUUAAUCGGAUUUACUGGGCGUAAAGCGUGCGUAGGCGGCUUUUUAAGUCGGAUGUGAAAUCCCCGAGCUUAACUUGGGAAUUGCAUUCGAUACUGGGAAGCUAGAGUAUGGGAGAGGAUGGUAGAAUUCCAGGUGUAGCGGUGAAAUGCGUAGAGAUCUGGAGGAAUACCGAUGGCGAAGGCAGCCAUCUGGCCUAAUACUGACGCUGAGGUACGAAAGCAUGGGGAGCAAACAGGAUUAGAUACCCUGGUAGUCCAUGCCGUAAACGAUGUCUACUAGCCGUUGGGGUCUUUGAGACUUUAGUGGCGCAGCUAACGCGAUAAGUAGACCGCCUGGGGAGUACGGUCGCAAGACUAAAACUCAAAUGAAUUGACGGG